GGGAAUGUGGCUUAGUGGUAGAGUGCUUGCCUACCAUGCACGAAGCCCUAGGUUCGAUUCCUCAGUACCA
Non-coding RNA from Dipodomys ordii (Ord's kangaroo rat), 70 nucleotides. The record is from Rfam. Lineage: Eukaryota; Metazoa; Chordata; Mammalia; Rodentia; Heteromyidae.